Molecule: long non-coding RNA, 125 nt
Organism: Priapulus caudatus
Lineage: Eukaryota; Metazoa; Priapulida; Priapulimorpha; Priapulimorphida; Priapulidae
Exons: 3
Source: RefSeq, a predicted model, not a curated record
AAUAUAAAUAUUACAAAUUUUAUACAAACGUUCAAUUGACAGUUUGUGUUCGUCCAAGUGUACACAACCUAUCGUAAUACAAAGACGAGCUGUGAUUGGUCGGGUCGGCACGCAUGCGCAUACGC